AAAUUUGAAAUCUGGCACCUUCGGUGUCCGAGUUGUAAUUUGAAGAAGGUAACUUUGGAGUUGGCUCUUGUCUAUGUUCCUUGGAACAGGACGUCACAGAGGGUGAGAAUCCCGUGCGAUGAGAUGUCCAACUCUAUGUAAAGUGCUUUCGAAGAGUCGAGUUGUUUGGGAAUGCAGCUCUAAGUGGGUGGUAAAUUCCAUCUAAAGCUAAAUAUUGGCGAGAGACCGAUAGCGAACAAGUACAGUGAUGGAAAGAUGAAAAGAACUUUGAAAAGAGAGUGAAAAAGUACGUGAAAUUGUUGAAAGGGAAGGGUUUGAGAUCAGACUUGGUAUUUUGUAUGUCUUGCUUUCGGGUGGGGCCUCUGCAGUUUACUGGGCCAGCAUCGGUUUGGACGGUAGGAUAAUGACAUUGGAAUGUGGCACUACUUCGGUGGUGUGUUAUAGACUUUGUUGAUACUGCCUGUCUAGACCGAGGACUGCGUCUUUGACUAGGAUGCUGGCAUAAUGAUCCUAAACC
RNAcentral lists this ribosomal RNA (517 nucleotides) under Scheffersomyces shehatae. Its description in RNAcentral is "eukaryotic LSU rRNA". It matches the Rfam family "Eukaryotic large subunit ribosomal RNA", at positions 111 to 646 of the family's 3401-position model. Lineage: Eukaryota; Fungi; Ascomycota; Pichiomycetes; Serinales; Debaryomycetaceae. The record is from RNAcentral.